RNAcentral lists this ribosomal RNA (406 nucleotides) under uncultured bacterium. RNAcentral describes it as "partial 16S ribosomal RNA". It matches the Rfam family "Bacterial small subunit ribosomal RNA", at positions 30 to 526 of the family's 1533-position model. The record is from RNAcentral.
AUUGAACGCUGGCGGCAGGCCUAACACAUGCAAGUCGAGCGGAGCGGCGGACGGGUGAGUAAUGCCUAGGAAUCUGCCUGGUAGUGGGGGAUAACGUCCGGAAACGGGCGCUAAUACCGCAUACUAUCAGAUGAGCCUAGGUCGGAUUAGCUAGUUGGUGGGGUAAAGGCGUACCAAGGCGACGAUCCGUAACUGGUCUGGGAGGAUGAUCAGUCAACCUGGAACUGAGACACGGGCCAGACUCCUACGGGGGGCAGCAGUGGGGAAUAUUGGCAAAUGUGCGAAAGCCUGUGCCACCCAUGCCGGGUGUGUGAAGAAGGUUUUCGGAUUGUAAAGCACUUUAAGUUGGGAGGCGUUACCAACAGAAUAAGCACCGGCUAACUUCGUGCCAGCAGCCGCGGUAUAC